UCCUAAACGGCCGCGGUAUCUUGACCGUGCAAAGGUAGCAUAAUCACUUGUCUCUUAAAUGGGGACCCGUAUGAAUGGCUCUUCAUCCUCUACCUGUCUCCCUUUUCCCCCGCUCAAACUUCUAUUUACGUGAAGAAGCGUAAUUCAGAAAGAAAGACGAGAAGACCCUGUCGAGCUUCAGCCUACCCUGUAAACCAACCAUACUCCCCCUAGGAGAAAGCCCUUUUGCAGGUCAAGCUUUGGUUGGGGCAACCAUGGAGAAAAGACAUCCUCCAGUUCUAUAGGAAGAAAACUCCUCUCCUUUUUACCACCUAGAGAACCAAGAUUCUUGGGAAACGGAAAAAGUUACCGCAGGGAUAACAGCGUUAUCUUUUCUGAGAGCCCUUAUUGACGAAAAGGAUUGCGACCCUCGAUGUUGUGAUUGGUGUAACUAAGAGGUGUAGCAUCUCUUUUAGGGUUGCCUGCUCCCCUUUAACCUCCCU
This 482-nucleotide ribosomal RNA is filed under the name Stichopus chloronotus. RNAcentral's name for it is "partial 16S ribosomal RNA". It matches the Rfam family "Bacterial large subunit ribosomal RNA", at positions 1921 to 2599 of the family's 2925-position model. The record is from RNAcentral. Lineage: Eukaryota; Metazoa; Echinodermata; Holothuroidea; Aspidochirotida; Stichopodidae.